This 68-nucleotide transfer RNA is filed under the name Marmota monax (woodchuck). RNAcentral's name for it is "tRNA.Undet". Lineage: Eukaryota; Metazoa; Chordata; Mammalia; Rodentia; Sciuridae. The record is from RNAcentral.
GGAUUGUAGCUCAGUGGUAGAGCGCUUGCCAACCAUAUGUGAGACACUGGGUUCGAUUCUCAGCACCA